This 1092-nucleotide long non-coding RNA is filed under the name Dasypus novemcinctus (nine-banded armadillo). RNAcentral describes it as "lncRNA (ENSDNOG00000051281.1)". Lineage: Eukaryota; Metazoa; Chordata; Mammalia; Cingulata; Dasypodidae. The record is from RNAcentral.
GUGGGGCAUUAGACUCAAAAGCCCUUAGCAGUCACCUGGCAUAACCUUUGUUGUUACAGAUAAGGAAGCUGAGAUCUGGCCAGAGGAAGGAAGUCUCAGUGUCCACCUCCCAGGUACUCAGAUGGGAAGGGGUCAGUCAGUGUACCAGCCCGGGAAACUGUUUUCACCUCCCUCAGCAGCGGGUCAGCAGGCGUUUUUAAAAUCAAGCCCUAAAGAACACGAAGGCGGCUCCUCCAUUGGGUUAUCAAGAAGUCAUCGUGUGCACCAGCCAUCACAACUGCACAGUGACUUUAACAGAUCUCAGUUUAAACCCUACAAUUGCCAACUCUCCAUCUGUUGACCUUCAACAUAUAAAGGGAAUAUUUUUUUCUCUCUCUCUCUUUUCUUUUUUCUUAAGGAUGUGGAAAACUUGACUAGAAUUGCAUGGUCUGACAUUUCCUGUGAGAAAGCUCUCUGCUUGGAAUGCUGUGAAAACAAUCUGCCUUAACAAUUCCACCCAGAUAAAUUAUCUUCCUGAAACUUGUGAAGAGCCUUAAUUGGGAAUUGGGCUACACAGCCGAGUCUCUCGUCCGGGUCCACGAUGACGAAGGUUGGACAAAGAUAGGGAUCGCCUGGUGAGGACAGAUGAGGAGGGAAAUGGGGGGUGGGGGGCCACCAUGGCCCUUGCAUCCUCCUGGAAAAGCCAUUGGGCCCAGGCUGUUUGGCUGAAGAGAACACACGCCGUGCUCCCGUCUCCUCAGCCAUUGUUCUUGGGGAGUGAUGAUUUCUCAGCUUAACUAUCUUUCCAUAUGGAUCGGUCCCUACUGACUUUGACACACACCCCUGAAGAGAAACAUUCAGAGCAAGAGCCAAAAUUAAGUCUAACAUUUCUACUUCUUGUAUAUCUAUUCCAUGAGUCAGACUGGAUUCUGGUACAUUCUAGGAACAGAAAAGAAAUGUAUCCUGGUCACCAAGAAAUGUAUCUGAAGGGAGAAAGGCUAAAGAAAGAGAACUGGGGUCAAAGAAGGUCUUCUCAAGGACUUCUCCUUCUCUUUUCUCCUUCAAAGCCACUCAUGAAGCUGUGGCCCAGUGCAGAAGCAGGGGAUGGACUGG